UGUUGCGGUUUAAGUUCUUA
This 20-nucleotide non-coding RNA is filed under the name Arabidopsis thaliana (thale cress). Lineage: Eukaryota; Viridiplantae; Streptophyta; Magnoliopsida; Brassicales; Brassicaceae. The record is from RNAcentral.